Molecule: long non-coding RNA, 4946 nt
Organism: Hippocampus zosterae (dwarf seahorse)
Lineage: Eukaryota; Metazoa; Chordata; Actinopteri; Syngnathiformes; Syngnathidae
Exons: 2
Source: RefSeq, a predicted model, not a curated record
AUGAAAAAUUGUGUUAUUUAAUAUGAUGCAACUUGUGUGUAAAUGACACAUGUACACAUCUUAAGAACAUUGCAGUACAGCCCCUAUGCACUAGCCAUUCCAUAACAUUCUACUGUUUUAGUUGUAUCCCAGUUUGUCUUAUGUGUUGUUGCUUUUUCUCUGAAUAUUCCAUAAGUGGUCCAACCGGUGGCUGCUUUCACGUAUGUGUGUGUGCGUGCCCCUGUGUGAACAUCUGAGACAGAUUUUGUCAUGGAUUGGAAGGCCAAACUGUCAAAGCUGUCUAUUUGAUUAAUGGCCGACAGAGCCCAGCAAGUGACACCUGCCAAAUGGUCAUUUGCAGUGUAUUUGUCAUAUAAAGUGUGUGUGUGUGUCCUUUGUUUGAAUGUGUACGGAAGAGGAGCUCAGAAUGAUCAAAGACAGUAAUCUGACCCGGUGGCACACGUAAGCGGAGGUGGGUGGGAACCAGCUAUCUGUUAUUUGGAUUCAAGUAACUUUUUGUAAUACUGUAAAUUGUACUUGUCAGAGUAGUUUUAAUGCAACAAACUUUACUUGAGUAAUUUUAUAAAGAACAAUACUAUUAUUUAUUUUACUCCUUUACAUUGAGUUACAUUAUGCUUGCUACUUGUAUUUCUGUCGACAAUGCAGAGGGGCAGGGUUCGCUUCCGGCACCUUUCUCUGUGGAGUUUGUAGGUUAUCCCCGUGCCUGCGUGAGUUUUUUCCGGUUUCCUCCCACAUUCCAAGAACUUGGCAGGUUAACGUAACACUCUAACUCCUCCCUCGGUGUAAGUGUGAGUUGGUUGUUCAUCUAUAGGGGUUUUUCACACGGCACACAUUUGCUCCGGCGCUGCACUGAUGUAUUUUGUUGCGAUAUAUUUUGCACCGCAGCAAAUUAUCAAAUUUGCCUUUUUCCGGGGCUACGCCGGAGCUAAUUUGCACGUGUGAACGCUCUACUGGGGCAGCCCCGGCGUAGCACCGGACCAACUUUUGCCGUGUGAACACCCCUUAUGUGUGCCCUGCAAUUAGCUAGCAAGCAGUUCAGGGUGUACCCCAGCUACUGCCUGAAGACAACCGGGAUAGGCUCCAGCAUGUCCUUGACCCUCGUGAGGAUAAGCGGAUCAGUAAAUGGAUGGAUGGAUGGAGUCAUAUUAUUCUGAAGGAACAGCACUAUUACUUGAAUACUACUAAUGCUACCAUCACCGCCUCUGUAGAUAAGUCCAGGCUAACAAUCAAGGCGCAAUUAUAAAAUGUUAAAUUUUAUACAGUAUCUCUCAGUAUUUCUUUUUUUAAUCAACCUUAAAAGAUUGUCAAAGCAGGAGUAGCUGGGCGGAAGGACUUUUACGUACAGUAUUUUUUUCACACCAACAGCAAAUAAGGAAAGUGGCUUUAUUUCAUGUUCACAUCCAUUGACCUUUUAUCAAGAUGAAAGCAUCACCUUUGCCUUCUACUUGGCUGUUUCAUACACAAAGACACAUUUGUAAUUCAGGAGCACACAAUGAAAAGAUGUUUUACAAGGACAACCGUGCUGCAGCGUGUUCUUUGUUGUUCUUUUUCACCAGCGGUUGAAAGUAAAACAACAAUUUAAAUUGAUCACUCGCAUGGCUUCCGUCAGCAGUUCUGCUUUUAGCUCGAUAAAUAGUAAUUUAAGGAGAUUAUUUGAGUGAAAUAUUGAGUGAGAUACAUUAUGAGCAGAAGUUGAGUAUUGAUAUUGUAAUCGUGUGAUGAAAGCCCACAUCAUGGGGUUCUGACCCAACCUAAGCUUCUCCUUCAAGCCUUUUAUAACUGAAUAAGCGGCUGUAUUACACGAGUUUUGUCAAAAACGAUUCUACUCACACCAGACACUUAUUAACUUAACCCGGACAUUGACGUCAGUGGCGUUCCGAGUCUGAAUGGUAUGUUGUGAGAGAGCCCCCGUGACAAAACCCUCGUACACACACAUGCACGCAUGCUGAGGAUGCAUGCUGCGUUCUUUCAAAUACAUUGCAUUGUGAGAAAAUAAGAAAUCAUCAAAUAAGAGUUAGAAUCAUUGAACCCGAGAGUUUAAAUAAAUCUUGAUUACAGUAUUGAUAUUAAUUAUACAGUGAUUGCUUUCCCAUAAGGCUAACUUGUAAAACUAUUUACAAAAUGUUGUCUUGCUUCCUUAAUGAUCCCAAAUCGUCAUCGACGUGUCUACUGCCCCAUUGACUCCACAAGGAGGCACAAAUCCCACAUAUGAACAAUAAUUGACCUAUCGUGCAUCAAGCAAUAAAAAAAAGCAUCUCACGUCCCAUUUGUAUUCAUUUAUUUUUAAUUUGGGUCUCGCUAUCACCCCUCAGCAAUGGCGCUUUCCGCGGCCACACAUAAUGCAAAUGAUGGAAGUCGCCGCUACGUAUGGUGGGUGAAUGCAGCUCAAGCUAAUCUACUUUAGACCACAAACACCUUGAGAGAGAAUUAGCAGCACUUUGCUGCGUGUAACCAAUUAGUGUACUCCAUUUUAAGAUGGAAAUAAUCAAAAAUCAAAGAUGAUUAAAAUAAUUCUUCAAGAUCAAUUGAUUAAUUGAACUGUUUUACACAUCCCAACAAUCUAAAAUAAUGUACAAAUUAAGGAAAAUGCCGUAAUCAGUUCUUGAAGGUAUGCCGAUUUUCCACACACAUCUGUAUUUGGUUCUCAUUCUAUUGUGCGAAUGCAAGUUUCGAUCGCCGUUUAGUUUUUGUCCACUUUCUGUUCCCACAACAAGGGCUUUGAUUAAAGUGCCACUUUUUCCGUUGCUGAAACAAUCCAUUCAACACGAUUCGACUUACUAAUUCCUUCCAUUUCGAUCGCUUCUAUUCUUCUCCACAUUGACUUUUCUCACCGCAUAGUUUGGGCACUUGGUUUUCUGUUCUUUGUCUCUGUGUCUAGGGCCAGCUCCUGGGGGCUCUUAGACCAAGCUCAUUAGACAGGUUGAGACCCCCUUAAAUAAUACAGCUCCACUUACACUCCCUCCGUCUUCUCUCGUUUCACCUUUUGUCCCCUUGCUCAGCCCCUUUUUCUUUUCCCUCCGCAUGUAAUGACUUCGCACAACCCUCCUGCACUUCCUUCCUUCCGCCUCAUCUGUCUGUCUCAUUUACUGUGUUGCGCUCUGCUCUCUCUCUCUCUAACACACACCCACCUUCCAUCUCAAAAUGCUCUUUUCUUCAUUCCCAUGGGAACGAAGAGCGUUGAAAAGAAAACUAAAUUCUUAGUGACUGUUGAGGAUCUCUCUCUCUCUCUGUCUCAUUCCUUAUUUGUGUUUAGAAUGUGUGUGUGUGUGGGUGUGUGUGCGUGCGCACACUCGCACGAGGGCUGUAACUUCUACCUCGAUGCAGGAUACUCACGUACAUGCAUAUACAUACAGUACAUGCACAGUAACGAUAACUGAAUGCUCCAUCUAUGAAUCGGCAUUUUGGUCCAAAUUUUACUAAUGUGAAAAUAGUUAACUCGUGUGAUUGUGGUCUACUCUAUAUUUAUGCACACAUGUGUAUGUUACUGUCUCGUACAGUCAAACUUUGUUCCGGCGUACCCCGUUUAAAACGUUUUCACCACUAAUGUUUAGCACAGGUAGUUGGAGAGAACCUUUUUGGUGUUCACAACCCUCCCCCCAACAGCUGUGCUGUUGUUAUUUGCUUUCGCAUUCAAUGUAUAGACACAUCAUAAUACAGGAAUUGUGUUUAAUCCCUUUCAUCAAACAUGCGCUGUGAAACUGACUCUGCUUUAUAUAUAGGCCUUACUUUGUAACAAUAAUACAAGUCUGUUUGUUAAAGUGUGGGUGUGCAAGACUCAAUAGUUUGAGGUUAUUUUCUUUCCUGAGAUGAAUCUAAUCCCUUGAAAAUUAAAGGCACAAUAACAAUUUUAUUAGCUAGUUUUCCAAAAACUGCAGGAGGUGCUACAAGAUAACUUUAACAGUCUGGGACAUUUUUACACUUUUUCUUUUACGGCGUUGCCUUUUUUAGCAGGACACACGUGCUUGUGUGCGCACGGGUGCAUGUUUGUUGGAGACUGAACGACCAUGAGAAGUAAGCCUUCCAAAGUGUGUGUGUGUUUCAGCGUGUUGUGAGCAUGAGUGAUCAAAGAACAUUUGUGUGGAAGCUUUUUAGCACCUGAGCCUGGAGCAACACCAUUGGGAGAUUGUGGGUAGAUGAAGAACACACCUUCAGACCCCAGGGUUAGAAUGCAGCAUCACAGCACGAAUCAAUGGAGAAAAUAUCAGUCGGUGUGGAAGAUGAAGAGGAGCAAAAAGAAAGUGGAUGAUUACUCUGAUGGUUUAUGAAGCAAAAGGGAAGGGAGACGGCGAAGUGGGGGACCACAGUCUAACAAAUACAUCUGCUCUGUUGGAAAUUGCAACGAAAACAAUUCCAGCUGUGUUUUUUUUUUUUGUUUGUUUUCGCUGCCGAGUUGAUCUAUGCAAGUGAUCCUCAUCUAGGCUUCCCAUUCUUAUGCAAAGCUUGUGAUAGCUCAGCACGUGUGCUCAGCUCACUGAUGUAGUUUUUGAAAUGUUAUUGAAGGAGCUCAGGUGCAGAGUGAUCAGCACAGCGCCACUGCUCACUGCUUGGAUCGGGACCGUUACGCAUCUCAAGUUCAUCUGCUUGCUAACGCGUUGCAAGUGAAAUGACCACUUCAGGAUCACGCUUGUGGGAUAUCGCUGACGAAUGAUCCUUAAAAGUCCUGAUGGGUUAUUUGGUAGACUUUUUCACUGCUUCACUCAAUGCGCAUUUAUUCACACAACUGUCAACACUCACUCACACACAAUUUAAACAUGCCCGAGGGUCAUAUAAACAUAAGGCUGAUAUAGAUUUUUUUAACCCUCAGGCUUAUGUUUAUAUUGUGUGUGUGUGUGUGUGUGUGUGUGUGUGUGUGUGUGUGUGUGUGUGUGUGUGUGUGUGUGUGUGUGUGUGUGUGUGUGUGUGUGUGUGUGUGUGUGUGUGUGUGUGUGUGUGUGUGUGUGUGCGUG